This 1198-nucleotide long non-coding RNA is filed under the name Capra hircus (goat). RNAcentral's name for it is "lncRNA (ENSCHIG00010029009.1)". Lineage: Eukaryota; Metazoa; Chordata; Mammalia; Artiodactyla; Bovidae. The record is from RNAcentral.
AUGACUGUGCCUCUUUUGGUGUGUUCUCAAGACCCUUUACCAUCCAGAAUUCACUGUUUCUCAGAGCAGUUUCUUCUCUUCCUUUUUCUAUUUCCAGUUCUUUCUAUCACCCACGUUAGUCCAGGGACAAACUGUGUUCAAAGCAUCCCCUCCGUGAGUGUCAGGAGGGGAGAUCCAGAGAGAAGAUCCCUCCCACGGAGGCCGCCUUCACUAAGAGUGUCCACCCACAGUUUCCAACCGACCGGGAGCUUACUCGGCCGCGCUCAUCAGGGCAGUGGGCUGGUUUCCUGCCCUUCCCGGUGGGUUCCCAGGAGAGUCCUCUUUAAGCCAGGCUCCCUCUCACUUCCCUUCCUCGCUGGGGCUAAGAAAAUGUUGGCUGGAGCACAAACAGGUCUGGGAAGGGCUGGCACGGCUCUUCUCUGCGCUGGCUGGUCUCAGUCAGAUCAGGCCGCUCUGACCGAUACCACAGAAAGGGGCUGAAACUCCAAGUGUCUACUUCUCACUGUCCCGGAGGCUGGGGAGUCCAGGAUCAAGGUGCUGACUGUUGUGGGGUCUGGUGGGGGCCCUCUUCCCGCUGUGACCUUCUGUGGUGGACAGGGCGAGGGAGCACUCUGGGGUCUCUUUCAUCAGGGCACGAAUCCACCCUCAUAACCUAAAGCCAAGGCCCCCCUUCCUGAUGCCAACACACUGGGGAGGUUAGGAUUUCAACACAGGAAACAAACAUGCAGCCCAUAAUAGCUCCUCUAUCUGAAGGGCAAUCCAAGGUGAGUUCUUCCCUUCCUUUCCCCAAGUCCUUUCCAAGCCUGAGAAAUCAUCUCUCCCCCAACAGAACUCCCCAGGAGCAAGGAUACAGUGGAGAUUCUGCUUCCCAUGUCCCUAAGAACAAGAUGCUCUCACGGGAUGUCGGCUGUGAAGGCCGGGCCCAAGGUCAUAGACCCCGUGACUUGGUAUGAUUCCUAAACGCCACUCUGAGAGCAGGUGGGAGUUCCUGGGGGCUUGCCAUCCCUCUGGAACACUUCAGACACACCUUCCAACCUUGCCAGCAGGCUUCCCCCCUCACUCCUCCUGUCUCCAUCAGACUGCUGAGGUUGCAAAUAUCACAGCACCCGUGAAAGCGGCUUAAGAACAACAUGGGUUUAUCAUUAACAAGGUAGCCUGAGGGCUUCCCUGGUGACUCAGCGGUGAAGAAUCUGCUUGC